Molecule: transfer RNA, 537 nt
Filed under: uncultured cyanobacterium
Lineage: Bacteria; Bacillati; Cyanobacteriota
Description: partial 16S-23S ribosomal RNA intergenic spacer
Rfam family: tRNA (bases 207-279)
Source: RNAcentral
CAGGGAGACAACAAAAUGUUUAUAUUAUUAUUUUGUCGCCUUAGGUCGAUCGGUAUCUCACGUUCUUGAUUAAGAAUUUCAUUUCCUAAGUUUUUCUAGGUCACACCCAUUAUUUUUCCUGGGCCAUUAGCUCAGGUGGUUAGAGCGCACCCCUGAUAAGGGUGAGGUCCCUGGUUCAAGUCCAGGAUGGCCCAUAUCUCUAUGUUGGGGGUAUAGCUCAGUUGGUAGAGCGCCUGCUUUGCAAGCAGGAUGUCAGCGGUUCGAGUCCGCUUACCUCCACUGAUUACCACCUCUUCCAUAACCGGUAGAAAGGAAAUGUUUUGAGUUGUGAUCAUUAUUCUGAACGAAUCUAGCUUCCUAAUGAAAUCAUUAAGAUGCUGGACUCAUUGAAUUAAUUUCAUUGUUUUCAGAGAACCUUGACAACUGCAUAGAUUAUUUUUAAAGACAAUAAGCAUCUUUAAUGAUGCAGAUUUAUUAUUUGUGCAAAUGCAUUAAUAACAAUUCUAUUAAGCUGAUGCUUCAAUAUUUGAAGUUAUU